This 254-nucleotide ribosomal RNA is filed under the name uncultured bacterium. Its description in RNAcentral is "partial 16S ribosomal RNA". It matches the Rfam family "Bacterial small subunit ribosomal RNA", at positions 524 to 776 of the family's 1533-position model. The record is from RNAcentral.
GACGAACCGUGCGAACGUUAUUCGGAAUCACUGGGCUUAAAGCGCGUGUAGGCGGGUCAGUACGUCCGUCGCUGAAAUCCCCCGGCUCAACCGGGGAACUGGCGUGGAUACGGCUGACCUGGAGGGGCGUAGGGGGACCUGGAACUUCCGGUGGAGCGGUGAAAUGCGUUGAGAUCGGAAGGAACGCCCGUGGCGAAAGCGAGGUCCUGGACGCCUACUGACGCUGAGACGCGAAAGCCAGGGGAGCGAACGGG